UUAAGGCAUGCUCAAUGAUAAUUUAAUAGCUGCGGUUCCGUGACCGUACUAAGGUAGCAUAAUCAAUUGGCUUUUAAUUGGGGUCUGGAAUGAAAGGAUUCAUGGAGAAAAGCUGUCUCAUAUAUUUUUCUAUUAAAUUUACUUUAUAAGUGCAAAAGCUUAUUUUAUGAAAAAAGACGAGAAGACCCUUGGAAUUUUGUUUUUGUUGGGGCAACAUAGAAUGUAAUUAAUAUUCUAAUUUAAUUAUUUAGAGUCAAGUAUUACUUUGAUUUAAUAAAUUACCCAAGGGAUAACAGCAUAAUUUUAUUAAAAGUUUGUGACCUCGAUGUUGGACUAGGAAAACUAGUAAUAAGCCAUUAUUAGUUUUGGUUCUGUUCGAACUAUAAAUCCU
This 391-nucleotide ribosomal RNA is filed under the name Lapinura divae. RNAcentral's name for it is "partial large subunit ribosomal RNA". It matches the Rfam family "Bacterial large subunit ribosomal RNA", at positions 1852 to 2596 of the family's 2925-position model. Lineage: Eukaryota; Metazoa; Mollusca; Gastropoda; Runcinacea; Runcinidae. The record is from RNAcentral.